AUUGAACGCUGGCGGCAUGCCUUACACAUGCAAGUCGAACGGCAUCGCGGGAAAGCUUGCUUUCCUGGCGGCGAGUGGCGAACGGGUGAGUCACACAUCGGAACGUACCGGCUAGUGGGGGAUAACCCGUCGAAAGACGGGCUAAUACCGCAUACGCUCUUCGGAGGAAUGCAGGGGACCUUUUGGCCUUGCGCUAGCCGAGCGGCCGAUGUCCGAUUAGCUAGUUGGUGGGGUAAAGGCCUACCAAGGCGACGAUCGGUAGCGGGUCUGAGAGGACGAUCCGCCACACUGGGACUGAGACACGGCCCAAACUCCUACGGGAGGCAGCAGUAGGAAUCUUGGACAAUGGGGGCAACCCUGAUCCAGCAAUGCCGCGUGGGUGAAGAAGGCCUUCGGGUUGUAAAGCCCUUUCGGCAGGGAAGAAAUAGGCGUGGCGAAUAACCCUGCUGGAUGACGGUACCUGCAGAAGAAGCACCGGCUAACUACGUG
This 489-nucleotide ribosomal RNA is filed under the name uncultured bacterium. RNAcentral's name for it is "partial 16S ribosomal RNA". It matches the Rfam family "Bacterial small subunit ribosomal RNA", at positions 29 to 507 of the family's 1533-position model. The record is from RNAcentral.